This 45-nucleotide non-coding RNA is filed under the name Trichobilharzia regenti. The record is from RNAcentral. Lineage: Eukaryota; Metazoa; Platyhelminthes; Trematoda; Strigeidida; Schistosomatidae.
AUCCAGUUGACGAGUUCAAAAUAGGACGAAACGCGCAUCCUGGAU